GGAAGUGAGGGUGAUCGGGCUGUAAUGUCUGUCACACUAUUAAUAGCCAGAGUUGAUUCAGCUGAUUCAGCUGGCUAAACGGAUGUCCCCCUCCCUUCCUCACUGCUCUAUGUGUACCCUUCCCAAAACUGUGAGCUUGGUGGAAGAGGACAACCUCCCUGCUAGAGGAGUACUGUUCUUCGGUCUAGGGUAUAUGAGUAGCUGCAUUCCCUUGCUUGCUAGAAUCUCCAAACAAGCUCUCAAGAAGCCAGAGAGAGACACAGGUAAACACACCCCUACUCACUGCUGCUGUGCCUCCAGCAGGCAUUACU
This 311-nucleotide small nuclear RNA is filed under the name Carlito syrichta (Philippine tarsier). RNAcentral's name for it is "7SK RNA (ENSTSYG00000020211.2)". It matches the Rfam family "7SK RNA". Rfam says of the family: 7SK was discovered as an abundant small nuclear RNA in the mid-70s but a possible function has only recently been suggested. Two independent studies have found that 7SK RNA binds the CDK9/cyclin T complex (known as elongation factor P-TEFb). P-TEFb activates transcription by phosphorylating the C-terminal domain of RNA polymerase II. The record is from RNAcentral. Lineage: Eukaryota; Metazoa; Chordata; Mammalia; Primates; Tarsiidae.